This 2942-nucleotide unclassified non-coding RNA is filed under the name Amphibalanus amphitrite. RNAcentral describes it as "vacuolar fusion protein CCZ1 homolog, transcript variant X1". The record is from RNAcentral. Lineage: Eukaryota; Metazoa; Arthropoda; Thecostraca; Balanomorpha; Balanidae.
GAUAGGGGACGACAUGGGCCUGCAGUCGUGGAGCGAUUGCGGCGAUUGCAUUUAUUGCAUUUAUAGUGGCAUUUAUUGAGAAAAAAUAUUUUGGAGGACAGGUUUGAUAGAAAAGGGGGAUUUUGAAUGCACAAAGUUGCUGGCGUCGCGAUUGGAAUCAAUGUCGUCUCAGCAAAACGCAGGUGUGGAGCUUUGCAGCUUUUUCAUCUUUAAUUCAACCUUUGGACCCCGGGAGGGUGAGGAGGAGAACAAAAUCAUAUACUACCACCCACCCUCAGUCGACAUCAACAGCAAGGUCAAAGAUGUCGGCCUGGUCGAAGCACUGGUGCAGUUUUCGAGAACAUUCAACAGUGAAUCUCCUCUACUCAGCAUGCAAACGCUGAAGCAAAAGCACUUCUUCUUGGAACCAGAGAAAGACUUCUUCAUGACUCUGGUGGUGCGCCAGCCGGUCGAGGAGGUCACCAGAAACAACUCUCCGUACAAGGAGUACACCCCGGAGGCCGUACAGCAGUCGGUGUACCUCUCCGUGCUGCGACACAUGUACCAGAUGUACCGGCUGCUGCGCGGUACACUGGCGGCCCAGAGCCGCGACGAGCUGGUACGCAGCACUGCGGAGAUAUUCGACAGCUACGUGCCGGUGCUGCGGCUCCAGCAGCGCGACAUUCGAGACGUCUACGGCGGCGUCCGCUUCCUCUCGCUGGAUCGACUCGCCUUCCUGAAGCUGCAGAGCUUCGUCAACCAGCUGGAGGUGCUACACCCCUUCAUCCGACACUCGGUCAUCUACUACAAACAGCAUCUCAUCUGGUCGGGCCUGGGUAAGACCAACAUGGGCAUCAUCCACUGGUACCUGGAGACGGUGCUGUUUCCCGAGUGUGGUCCCGAACGGCCGGCCGUCUGGAAGGAACGCACCGCACCCACCAGCGGAGUCUUCAUGUCCACCGAGGCAUCCGGUGACGGCACGGAUUCGUUCCUGGCGCCGCCUAUCGUCCACCUGCGGAAGCACAACUGCACAGCUCUGCCGCUGGGCGGCGCUGCGGACGGCUGCAGCAGGGACGGGGAUGACAGUUGGAACGGUGGCGAUCCGGUGGAGGCGACGGACGAGCGGGCUCAGCUGGUGCUCUACCGACUGAGAGACGUGGUGGUCGUCCUACUGGUGGACCUGGAGGUGCGCCUCACUCUGCCCCUCUGCCGGGAGCUGGAUGCCUCGAUGGCUGGACCCGUUCAGGAGCUCUCCACUCUACUGAGUAGCGCCAUCAACGACGACAAGUCGUCGGGCAAAGACGACGGAGACACGAAACUGAUCUACUAUAACCGGUGUAACCGCGCUCAGAAGAGCAGCCUGCACGGCCCGACGGCCGCCUCUGUGCCGUCGGACGCCCUCCAGCUGAUGGUCGACCUCAGAGAGGACGCGCUCAGGUCGGGUCACCGGCGGCGAGGGGCGAUGUUUACCUUCACUGAUCGGUGUUUGGAGGGAGGCAAAUGUACAGACUAUGGGCAGAGGGACAGAUUUCAUUUUAUUUUAUUUUAUUUUAUUUUAUUUUAUUUUAUUUCAUUUUAUGAAUUUUUGAGUUUUUUGUGUUGUUUUAUUAUGUUUUCUUUUUUUCUUUUAGCGAGGAACGAUUCCUCUUUUUUUCCCGUCGUAUGCGUUCCCGUUAUACAUAAUCGUGGGUCUUGCGAGUUUGUACCAAUACUUACGGGUCGCUAUGAGUAGUCCACAGUGCUGUUGUUAUAUUGUAUAACUGCGUUUAUGAUAGAGCUGCCCCACCUUUGACAGGUUCCAGGGUGACGGCGGCGCGAUCUUCGGUCGGGCCAUGAACGAGACCUGGGUGGCCGGCCGGGUCAACCCCAAUAGGGAGUUCUUCUCCGUGGUCCAACAGAAGAAUAUGAACCUUAUGGACGUCAACAAUGAGAUGGAGCAGCUAUGUAAGGACCAGUUUAGUACAAUCUUCUUCCCGGCAUGAGCCACCUGUGCCCACCGAGCUCCUGCAAGUGGCGACUCUAUCAACAAGGUCCGGCUGGUCAUCCACCGAGUCUGAUCAAAGGCAACAGUGUCUGCUAUGUCUCUACAAUAGCGACGAUGCCUACCGAGGAAUGACUGACGACACAAAGUCAAUGCAAGGGAGACAAAUUAGAGGAGCACAUACACAGGAAGAGGAGUAGCCGGGACCUCUCAGCUCCUGAACGUCUUCCCAGUCUCCUUGAGAAUCUGCUGAGUUUGUCGUAGAGCUGGGGUCUACUAUCGGACACUGUCCAACAGCCCGACAGUCCUAUGACACAUCAACAACUACCGAAUAUUGACCUGAUAGCUCGAACUCACCCAUUCUGUCUCGGCCUCGAGUGUCGGUUAUCUCUGGCUGAGAGAGGGAGGGAGACGAUGGUAGCGCUGUCUCCUGUUCGUAAUGACCCGCUAUAUGAGCAUCGGUGAUGCUGUGCCUAUGAAGAGGUAUACGCAAACUUUGGCACAGGUCUGCUGUGAUCAGCUGGAGAGACAUGUAAACUUAUGAACUGCACUGCGACUAUGUGAAGGAUAGAUAGACAAACCACUAGCGCUGAUCCGAGGUUUACCAUGAAGUCGUUGCACGGCGCUGGUUCGCUGUUAAUGGAGACAGACACGAAUACGACAGCUGAUACCGAGUGUUUGCAUUAUCUACACGGCUGUGGGAUGUGGGUGCUGGUGCGAUGAUAUGAUGUUUUACCCAGGCGGUGCUGCUGAUACACCGUUCGGGACUUAUAUCUUGCACACAAUGCGAGGACAGUGUAAUGUGUCUUGUGCCCGAUUCCUGAACGUGUGCUUGUAUCAUUUGCACAUUGUAAUUUAUGUGGCAUUGUAAUCUGUCGCUUUGGUUGUAUGUUUCAUACCCACAAUCCUGAAAAUGUAUGGGAAAAUACUGUGAUAUGACGUAUACCUCUGUAGCUCAUAAUACAGAUUAAUCAUCGAAAGA